GAUCCAUCUGUGGCUGAGAUUCAGGCCAGUGUCCGAUGAGAGUAGAUGCCUUCCACCCGUGCAUGAGGUCCUAGACUUGAGUGUCUGGAUGUCAGCCGGGGGAUGGAUUGGUUUUCUACUUGUGGAACUGGUAAUACUUGCGUCUGCAGCGCAAGGUGGUCGGGAUCGAAAUGCAGGAUGGGUCUGAGGUAGACUUCAGAGGGGACCAAGUAGGAUGCCUAGGAGUUUGAUGACAGCUGUCAGGCUCGUAGAGUGUAUGGGAAUGGUUAGUAGAGAGUUUUAGUUGAGUUUGAGAGGGCAGCAGGCAGGUCUAGGAACCAGCCCUAGUGCCAUAGAUAGAGCGAGUGUUCAGAGGUUUCAGGCUAGUGUCAGGUUGGCCAUCAAUCAGGGAGGUAGAGUUUGGUUCAGAGGUGGUGCUUGGUACCCAUAACCAUUUCUCUCUUUCCUUUCGGGAUGGCACCUGCAGAGAGUAAGAGUAUAGCAGAGAAAAGUAAGA
RNAcentral lists this long non-coding RNA (496 nucleotides) under Manihot esculenta (cassava). RNAcentral's name for it is "long non-coding RNA (MESC_LNC006093)". Lineage: Eukaryota; Viridiplantae; Streptophyta; Magnoliopsida; Malpighiales; Euphorbiaceae. The record is from RNAcentral.